AGGUACAAGAUUCAACCACGUUAAACGACUUCCCGAAAAGCGCGAACUUAGUGGCGCCUGAAAUUUUACCUUCGGUUGGGGCGACCACGGAGGAAAAGUAAGCCUCCGAGUGGACUGGGCCUACUCCCUAAAGCCAAAAGAUACAUCUUUAGGCCGCAGUAUAGCUGACCAAAAAUGAUCCGGCCAAAGGCCGAUCAACGGACCAAGUUACCCUAGGGAUAACAGCGCAAUCCUCUCCCAGAGCCCAUAUCGACGAGGGGGUUUACGACCUCGAUGUUGGAUCAGGACAUCCUAAUGGUGCAGCCGCUAUUAAG
This 314-nucleotide ribosomal RNA is filed under the name Meda fulgida (spikedace). RNAcentral describes it as "partial 16S ribosomal RNA". It matches the Rfam family "Bacterial large subunit ribosomal RNA", at positions 2202 to 2569 of the family's 2925-position model. The record is from RNAcentral. Lineage: Eukaryota; Metazoa; Chordata; Actinopteri; Cypriniformes; Leuciscidae.